UUGACCUCGAAUCAGGUAGGACUACCCGCUGAACUUAAGCAUAUCAAUAAGCGGAGGAAAAGAAACCAAC
This 70-nucleotide ribosomal RNA is filed under the name Metarhizium robertsii. RNAcentral describes it as "partial large subunit ribosomal RNA". It matches the Rfam family "Eukaryotic large subunit ribosomal RNA", at positions 1 to 69 of the family's 3401-position model. The record is from RNAcentral. Lineage: Eukaryota; Fungi; Ascomycota; Sordariomycetes; Hypocreales; Clavicipitaceae.